UACGUAGGUGGCAAGCGUUAUCCGGAAUUAUUGGGCGUAAAGCGCGCGCAGGUGGUUUCUUAAGUCUGAUGUGAAAGCCCACGGCUCAACCGUGGAGGGUCAUUGGAAACUGGGGAACUUGAGUGCAGAAGAGGAAAGUGGAAUUCCAAGUGUAGCGGUGAAAUGCGUAGAGAUUUGGAGGAACACCAGUGGCGAAGGCGACUUUCUGGUCUGUAACUGACACUGAGGCGCGAAAGCGUGGGGAGCAAAUAGG
Molecule: ribosomal RNA, 253 nt
Filed under: uncultured bacterium
Lineage: Bacteria
Description: partial 16S ribosomal RNA
Rfam family: Bacterial small subunit ribosomal RNA
Source: RNAcentral